Molecule: ribosomal RNA, 1440 nt
Filed under: uncultured organism
Description: SSU rRNA
Rfam family: Bacterial small subunit ribosomal RNA
Source: RNAcentral
GGCUUAACACAUGCAAGUCGAGGGGCAGCAUGGUCUUAGCUUGCUAAGGCCGAUGGCGACCGGCGCACGGGUGAGUAACACGUAUCCAACCUGCCGUCUACUCUUGGACAGCCUUCUGAAAGGAAGAUUAAUACAAGAUGGCAUCAUGAGUCCACAUGUUCACAUGAUUAAAGGUAUUCCGGUAGACGAUGGGGAUGCGUUCCAUUAGAUAGUAGGCGGGGUAACGGCCCACCUAGUCUUCGAUGGAUAGGGGUUCUGAGAGGAAGGUCCCCCACAUUGGAACUGAGACACGGUCCAAACUCCUACGGGAGGCAGCAGUGAGGAAUAUUGGUCAAUGGGCGCAGGCCUGAACCAGCCAAGUAGCGUGAAGGAUGACUGCCCUAUGGGUUGUAAACUUCUUUUAUAAAGGAAUAAAGUCGGGUAUGCAUACCCGUUUGCAUGUACUUUAUGAAUAAGGAUCGGCUAACUCCGUGCCAGCAGCCGCGGUAAUACGGAGGAUCCGAGCGUUAUCCGGAUUUAUUGGGUUUAAAGGGAGCGUAGAUGGAUGUUUAAGUCAGUUGUGAAAGUUUGCGGCUCAACCGUAAAAUUGCAGUUGAUACUGGAUAUCUUGAGUGCAGUUGAGGCAGGCGGAAUUCGUGGUGUAGCGGUGAAAUGCUUAGAUAUCACGAAGAACUCCGAUUGCGAAGGCAGCCUGCUAAGCUGCAACUGACAUUGAGGCUCGAAAGUGUGGGUAUCAAACAGGAUUAGAUACCCUGGUAGUCCACACGGUAAACGAUGAAUACUCGCUGUUUGCGAUAUACAGCAAGCGGCCAAGCGAAAGCGUUAAGUAUUCCACCUGGGGAGUACGCCGGCAACGGUGAAACUCAAAGGAAUUGACGGGGGCCCGCACAAGCGGAGGAACAUGUGGUUUAAUUCGAUGAUACGCGAGGAACCUUACCCGGGCUUAAAUUGCAGAUGAAUUACGGUGAAAGCCGUAAGCCGCAAGGCAUCUGUGAAGGUGCUGCAUGGUUGUCGUCAGCUCGUGCCGUGAGGUGUCGGCUUAAGUGCCAUAACGAGCGCAACCCUUGUUGUCAGUUACUAACAGGUUCCGCUGAGGACUCUGACAAGACUGCCAUCGUAAGAUGUGAGGAAGGUGGGGAUGACGUCAAAUCAGCACGGCCCUUACGUCCGGGGCUACACACGUGUUACAAUGGGGGGUACAGAGGGCCGCUACCACGCGAGUGGAUGCCAAUCCCAAAAACCUCUCUCAGUUCGGACUGGAGUCUGCAACCCGACUCCACGAAGCUGGAUUCGCUAGUAAUCGCGCAUCAGCCACGGCGCGGUGAAUACGUUCCCGGGCCUUGUACACACCGCCCGUCAAGCCAUGGGAGCCGGGGGGUACCUGAAGUGCGUAACCGCGAGGAGCGCCCUAGGGUAAAACUGGUGACUGGGGCUAAGUAG